CAGCAGCCGCGGUAAUACGUAGGUGGCAAGCGUUGUCCGGAAUUAUUGGGCGUAAAGGGCUCGCAGGCGGUUUCUUAAGUCUGAUGUGAAAGCCCCCGGCUCAACCGGGGAGGGUCAUUGGGAACUGGGAGACUUGAGUGCAGAAGAGGAGAGUGGAAUUCCACGUGUAGCGGUGAAAUGCGUAGAGAUGUGGAGGAACACCAGUGGCGAAGGCGACUCUCUGGUCUGUAACUGACGCUGAGGAGCGAAAGCGUGGGGAGCGAACAGGAUUAGAUACCCCUGUAGUCCCUGUCUCUUAUAC
RNAcentral lists this ribosomal RNA (301 nucleotides) under uncultured bacterium. RNAcentral's name for it is "partial 16S ribosomal RNA". It matches the Rfam family "Bacterial small subunit ribosomal RNA", at positions 509 to 807 of the family's 1533-position model. The record is from RNAcentral.